MicroRNA precursor from Aotus nancymaae (Ma's night monkey), 89 nucleotides. The record is from Ensembl. NCBI's taxonomy places the organism in Eukaryota, Metazoa, Chordata, Mammalia, Primates, Aotidae.
UUUCCUGCCCUCGAGGAGCUCACAGUCUAGUAUGUCUCAUCCCCUACUAGACUGAAGCUCCUUGAGGACAGGGAUGGUCAUACUCACCU